Molecule: non-coding RNA, 201 nt
Organism: Cinara cedri
Lineage: Eukaryota; Metazoa; Arthropoda; Insecta; Hemiptera; Aphididae
Source: the annotation of a GenBank genome assembly
GCAUCGAAUAUGGACGAAAUUUUCCGGAAAAAAGUUCUCUUAUAGGUUUUUAAUUGGAAUGAGAUUACUGGUCGAAAAGUACUGGUCAGACAUACAGUAAAUACAAACAAAAGUACGCAUCAAAUAGUGUAACCAAUUAAAUGCGCUUACAAUCUAAAGAAGGGAAAAAAAGUCACUGGUGUCGAUACUAAUAAUAUUGUG